UACGAAGGUGGCUAGCGUUACUCGGAAUCACUGGGCAUAAAGGGCGUGUAGGCGGACGCGUAAGUCCGGUGUAAAAUCCCCCGGCUCAACCGGGGAAGGCCAUUGGAUACUGCGUGUCUUGAGUGCGGGAGGGGAGAAUGGAACUCUUGGUGGAGCGGUGAAAUGCGUAGAUAUCAAGAGGAACGCCGGUGGCGAAAGCGGUUCUCUGGCCCGUAACUGACGCUGAGGCGCGAAAGCUAGGGGAGCAAACGGG
RNAcentral lists this ribosomal RNA (253 nucleotides) under uncultured bacterium. Its description in RNAcentral is "partial 16S ribosomal RNA". It matches the Rfam family "Bacterial small subunit ribosomal RNA", at positions 524 to 776 of the family's 1533-position model. The record is from RNAcentral.